UGUCUGCCAUUAAAGCUCACUUUUAAAGUCCCACGUGCUGCCAGGGAAAGUACAAAGGCAGGAGGACACAAGCUGCAGGCACAGGUCGCCCGUGGGAUCCCGCCAAGGCCGGGGAAUACAGACAAACCAAAUGGAAUGCCACAGCCUAGGGCAGCCCUAGGGCAGCGGGCUCCAAGCUGUUUCCAUCACCAUGGUAACCGCCCAAGCCUGGCCUCACAGCGGGCUUCCUGGUCCCGCCUCCUGCAUUUCAACAGGCUUCUCAUUGGUCCUUCCAACUGUCACUCAGACAGGACUUCUGGUCCCACCUUCCAGCCACUAACCUGUACUUCCUGUUUCAGACCUGCUACCCAGAUAAAUGCCCAGAACCUGCAUUUUUAAGAACACCCACCUGAGCCAUCACAGAACCCAAAGAAAAAGGUCUCAGUGUCUCUUGUGUGGUUAUUUCGUGCAGCUCAGUUCCCCUGGAGUGACCCUGAGUGUUUUCGUGUGAGGAAGCGGCAGCCAGUGAUGCAGACAGGGUCCCUGUCCAGCUUUCUGAUUCUUCGAGCUGUCUGUAGUGCGAGCCUCACCCAGACCAAGGCGGCCCCCCUUCACUUUGAAACCAUCCAAAACAGGGGGCUGGCAGGACACUUCUCCUUACUUUUCUGGCCAGGGGUGGGCAGGAGAGUUUCAAAUUUCAAAUCCCCCUCCCAGGGAGCACUUGGGAGGCUGUUGGCCUGGCCCUUCUGCCGGAGGAAGAGCCCACUCCAACCCCAAGCCCUUCGUGGCUAUCCUGACCAAGGGGACCUGGUCUCUAGCAGGGCUUCCCCAUCCCUCUGUGGUCUCCCCUUCCUGAUCAGGGUCUUGAUGGAAGCCAGAGCCCCAACCUGCAUUCACUCAGGCAGCCAGGAGGGAGAUCUGGGGCAACGUUGGGACUAGUUUGCUCAUUACGUUUCCUGAUCUAGGUCUCAGGUGCUGAUGAAAAGUGGGCCUGGGGGUUAGUCAUGCUGGGAUUGUCACUCUCUUGAAAGUGCCUCUGUGUAGAGCCCUCCAUCACCUUUGCAACCCAGGGAGCCUGGGACACUGUCCCCAGUCACAGACCUUCAUGUCCCCUCCCCCUUGCAAGAACAGCCUCCAGAACCCAGCCUCUUCAUGGGCAGAAGAUGUGGCGUGUCUGUCAUCUUGUCAUUGCCUCCCCUCCCAUUGUCCUCGUGGCACCCCACUCUUCUGUGCAGACACCAGGCCCUUCUUCAGGCCCCAAAGUAGCUUGUGAUUGAAGUUGACCCUGGAAUGUUCAUUUUGGUCAGAAUGUGAAAGAUGCUUCCAUAUCCACUCUCCACGGAGGCCCUGAGGGCAGGAGGAUCAUGAGGUCAGAGCCAGGCUCAGCAAAGACAGGUGCCAAGCUACUCAGGGAGACCCUGUCUCUAAAUAGAAGACAAAAUAGGGCUGGGAGGGGGCUCAGUGGUUGAGUGCCCCUGGGUUCAAUCCCUGGUACCCCAGCUCUCCAAAAAACGGCCCCCUGUUCCUGCUGAUGAGAAGAACCAUGGCCUCUGAGACAGAAUAUCACAUGCUUCUCCUUUACUAAUAAAGCAAUAAAACAUUUUUUCCCCCAAA
Marmota monax (woodchuck) is the source of this 1593-nucleotide long non-coding RNA. RefSeq lists it as uncharacterized. The transcript is spliced from 2 exons. The record is from RefSeq and is a predicted model, not a curated record. Lineage: Eukaryota; Metazoa; Chordata; Mammalia; Rodentia; Sciuridae.